CGGCUGAUUUUUGUAUUUUUAGUAGAGAUGGGGUUUCACCAUAUUGGCCAGGUUGGUCUCAAACUCCUGACCUCAGGUGAUCCACCUGCCUUGGCCUCCCAUAGUGUUGGGAUUAUAGGUGUGAGCCACUGUGCCUGGCCAAUAAAGUCAUUUUUUUUUUUUUGAGACGGAGUCUCGCUCUGUCACCAGGCUGGAGUGCAGUGGCUUGAUCUUGGCUCACUGCAACCUCUGCCUCUCAGGUUCAAGUGGUUCUCCUGCCUCAGACUCCCAAGUAACUGGAACGACAGGCACGCGCCACCAUGCUUGGCUAAUUUUUUUUGUAUUUUUACUAGAGACAGGGUUUCACCAUGUUGGCCAGGAUGAUCUUGAUCUCUUGACUUC
RNAcentral lists this long non-coding RNA (381 nucleotides) under Homo sapiens (human). RNAcentral describes it as "non-protein coding lnc-C5orf24-2:1". Lineage: Eukaryota; Metazoa; Chordata; Mammalia; Primates; Hominidae. The record is from RNAcentral.